RNAcentral lists this unclassified non-coding RNA (334 nucleotides) under soil metagenome. RNAcentral's name for it is "partial contains 5.8S ribosomal RNA, internal transcribed spacer 2, and large subunit ribosomal RNA". The stretch from base 1 to 120 matches the Rfam family "5.8S ribosomal RNA", at positions 35 to 154 of the family's 154-position model. The record is from RNAcentral.
GAUGAAGAACGUAGCGAAAUGCGAUAAGUAAUGUGAAUUGCAGAAUUCAGUGAAUCAUCGAAUCUUUGAACGCACAUUGCGCCCGGCAGUAUUCUGGCGGGCAUGCCUGUUCGAGCGUCAUUUCAACCAUCAAGCCCCCGGCUUGUGUUGGGGACCUGCGGCUGCCGCAGGCCCUGAAAUGCAGUGGCGGGCUCGCUGUCACUCCGAGCGUAGUAGUUACAUCUCGCUCUGGGCGUGCUGCGGGUUCCGGCCGUUAAAAGCCUUAUUUACCCAAGGUUGACCUCGGAUCAGGUAGGAAGACCCGCUGAACUUAAGCAUAUCAAUAAGCGGAGGA